Long non-coding RNA from Mytilus californianus (California mussel), 1692 nucleotides. RefSeq lists it as uncharacterized. NCBI's taxonomy places the organism in Eukaryota, Metazoa, Mollusca, Bivalvia, Mytilida, Mytilidae. The transcript has 2 exons. The record is from RefSeq and is a predicted model, not a curated record.
CCAAAGCAAAUCCUAACCAUCCCUUUGUGGUAUGGAAACUUGUAGUAUAAUUUCAGAGAGAUCCAUACACCAUUCCACAGUUAUUGUCUGGAAACUAGAAAAUGCUUAUUUUUGGCCCCUUUUUGGCCCCUAAUUCCUGAACUGUUGGUACCAUAGCCCCCAAAAACAAUCCCAACCUUCCUUUUGUGGUAUUGAACCUUAUGGUAAAAUUUCAUAGAGAUCCAUUCACUUUAACUAAAGUUAGAGUGCGAAAACCAAUGUGUCUUCGGACGACAUCGACACCAGACGACGACGACGACGACACCAACGUCAUACCAAUAUACGACCACAAAAUUUUAUUAAGGUCAUAUAAAAAUGAAUAAAAUGCUUCGCUGGGGCGCAGCUUGAUACGACCGCAGAGGUCGAACCCUGAACAGUUGGGGCAAGUAUGGACACAACAUUCAAGCUUGAUACAGCUCUGAAUUUGGAUUGUUAUUAAAUAUUUGACACAGCAUAGGUUUCUGACACAGAAAGAAUGUGGUCUAAGAACUUGAAUUUUUUUAAUUUACCUAUUAUAGUCCAAUGUCCAAAAUCAAAAUACAUGGUUAGAUUCAGCAUAUCAAAGAACCCCAUAUAUUCAAUUUUUGUUGAAAUCAAACAAAGUUUAAUUUUGGACCCCAACUUGGACAAACUUGAAAACUGGGCCCAUAAUCAAAAAUCUAAACACAUUUUUAGAUUCAGCAUAUCAAAGAACCCCAAGAAUUCAAUUUUUGUUAAAAUCAAACUAAGUUUAAUUUUGUACCCUUUGGACCUUAAUGUAGACCAAUUUAAAAAACGGGACCCAAAAUUAAAAAUCUAAAUACACGGUUAGAUUUGGAAUAUCAAAGAACCCCAAUAAUUCAAUUUUUGAUGAAAUCAAACAAAGUUUAAUUUUGGACCCUUUUGACCUCAAUAUGAACCAAUUUGAUAGCGGGGCCCACAAAUAAAAAAUCUAAAUACAUGGUUAGAUUCAGCAUAUCAAAGAACCCAAUAUAUUCAAUUUGUGUUGAAAUAAAAAAAAGUUUAAUUUGGACCCCAAUUUGACCAACUUGAAAACUGGGCCCAUAAUAAAAAAUCUAAAAACAUGUUUAGAUUCAGCAUAUCAAAGAACCCCAAGAAUUCAAUUUUUGUUAAAAUCAAACUAAGUUUAAUUUUGGACCCUUUGGACCUUAAUGUAGACCAAUUUAAAAAAUGGGACCCAAAAUUAAAAAUCUAAAAACACAGUUAGAUUUGGCAUAUCAAAGAACCCCAAUAAUUCAAUUUUUGAUGAAAUCAAAACAAAGUUUAAUUUUGGACCCUUUUGACCUCAAUAUGAACCAAUUUGAUAGCGGGCCCACAAAUAAAAAAUCUAAAUACAUGGUUAGAUUCAGCAUAUCAAAGAACCCCAUAUAUUCAAUUUUUGUUGAAAUCAAACAAAGUUUAAUUUUGGACCCCAAUUUGGACCAACUUGAAAACUGGGCCAAAAAUCUAAAAUCUAAAUACAUGUUUAGAUUCAGCAUAUCAAAGAACCCCAUAUAUUCAAUUUUUGUUGAAAUCAAACAAAGUUUAAUUUUGGACCCCAACUUGAAAACUGGGCCCAUAUCCAAAAAUCUAAACACAUGUUUAGAUUCAGCAUAUCAAAGAACCCCAAGAAUUCAAUUUUUGUUAAAAUCAAACUAAGUUUAAUUUUGGACC